Molecule: ribosomal RNA, 254 nt
Filed under: uncultured bacterium
Lineage: Bacteria
Description: partial 16S ribosomal RNA
Rfam family: Bacterial small subunit ribosomal RNA
Source: RNAcentral
UACGUAGGGGGGCAAGCGUUGUCCGGAAUCAUUGGGCGUAAAGCGCGUGUAGGCGGCUUGGUAAGUCCGUUCUGAAAGUCCAAGGCUCAACCUUGGGAUGCGGAUGGAUACGUGCUGAGCUCGAGUCCGGAAGAGGCGAGUGGAAUCCUGGUGUAGCGGUGAAAUGGCGCAGAUAUCAGGAGGAACACCAAUGGCGAAGGCAGCUCGCUGGGACGUGACUGACGCUGAGACGCGAAAGCGUGGGGAGCAACAGG